Long non-coding RNA from Lates calcarifer (barramundi perch), 3139 nucleotides. RefSeq lists it as uncharacterized. Lineage: Eukaryota; Metazoa; Chordata; Actinopteri; Centropomidae. The record is from RefSeq and is a predicted model, not a curated record. The transcript has 3 exons.
AAAAAUGAAAAUAUUAGAGGGGUGUAUGUGUGUGUGUGAGUGGGAAGAAGACGAAGGUAGUUGGUGAGCAACACUUUCCACUAGUUGCACAUUGCCACCCAGAUAGAGUCCAAUACAACAGAGGAGAAUGCAAUUUUGUGAUUUUAACAGAAAAAAUAAAAUAUGAGAAAUAACAUCUCAUCUUGAAACACACUCUUUGGGCAGCAUGGUGCAAAAGUAGCAAUUUUGACAUCAAAGUUUAUAACACUACAGAAAUUAUAUCACAAAACCACGAUUAAACGCGAUUAAACCCAUAUUUGUUAUGUAGAGGUGUAGUUGCAUGCUGUUGCAAGGGAGCGCGAUACACUGUCUACACACCUGGUGACAACAGCGCUGCGUGCUGCAUUCAAAGACCCUCCCUCGUGAAAUCUUCUCCCGAAAACGUGUACGUGCCCUAAACACCGCAAAGCAAUUCCUGGUACACAGUGCCACAGAAUAGUUUUUAAACUUAAGUAUUUUAUGUGUCCACGCUAAUAAGGUGGUCCUUUGUCAGCAUGUCAACUGUGAACGCGAAGGAAGCAGACUCUGUCGAGAUAUUGGCGUUGAAACUCCGGUGAGUUGAGGCGCACAUUCUUGCUAGCUUGCUGGGAGGAGAGUGCCGCGUGCUUACUGUUCAAGUUCAGAUACUUUCAAUUAAGAAACACAGUUGGGGUACUGAGAACGUUUUUCCAGUGUUUUCAACGUAGUUUGGUGCAUAUUGUGUCACUGUAUUAAUGUAAAGGCCGCCAGUCUCUCCAAGCUAUUUGCUAAGGCUAAGGCUAAUUGCUAACUCGAGUCGCUAACGCUAAUUGCUAGCUCUGGUUGUGUGCUAAGAUGUUAAUGUAGCGCCAGUUAUUCCUGUACAGAGGAACAGGUAAUAGUGUGGCGAAGUAUUAAAGAUGCAUUGAAUUGUUAUGCUGACAUUGAAAAUCAUUUAGGUUUAGUGGAGUUAUUUCAUUGUAAAGAUUAGCAGAACUACAGUGUAAUUGAACUCAUUUUGAUUGUUACAGUGUACAUGUGAUGUUAAGUAGUGGUGAUGAGUUCAAAUUAAUUCUAAGGGGAAAUUAUUAAAAUGAUGUAUAGAAGAGUUAAAACAGAAUAUAUUACAUGUAGAAAGUAGUUUAAAAAUAUAAAUAAGUAAUGUAUUAAUACUAACUGAUGUUGUGAUCUGCACUAUUCCUGUAGAUUGGCGUUUUGAGCUACCAGUUAGAACCUGGAGGAUUUGGUGAUGGUGAGCCCAGCCAGUGAGACUGUGGAUGGUGGUGGAAGUGGUGUGGCCUACUGUGGGAUCUGUCCAUAGAGGACAUCUGACCAACUUGAUUCAUUCAGUUGGACACCAGAUAAGAACACGUGCACAUGAUUAUCUCAGGGGGCGGAGCUGCGAGCAGGAGGCAGACAGGCGGUGUUUUUUGUCAGCGCGCUGGAGGCGUGGCAGAACACUCUGACGAAACAGGUCCUUCUUUGGCUUCUCCUGCAGGAUGAGGUCCAUAGACGACCCCAGGGAGUACUUUCGGCUCACCCUGCGCCCCAGGCCCUGUACAGCUGAGGGGACAAAAGGACUGUUAUAAGGAAAAAGUUCAACAUUUUGAAAAUUAAGGUACAGUAUAUGCUUUCUUGCAGAGAGUUCUAUAAUUCUCAUGUCUGUCAGUUAAAUAUGGAGCUGAAACAAGAUAUGAAGUGUUAAUUUGUGAGCUUUAGAGGUUCAGGUAAAUUUUGUCACUUUAGGACAGAGCUGGGUUAGUGCUUUCCCAUGUAUUUCUGGUCACAAAGCUCAGCAUGUUGCCCAAAAUGCUGAACUAUUCCUUUAAUAGACAUUAUUUAACUUGUGAAAUCAUAAUUCAUUCAGGGUUAACUAGAUUUUCAUAUCCAAUAUAUUUGUAAACCCAGUAACCCCUCCCCCCAAUUUAAUGGUUUGACUUGAUGUGCUAAGCAUGAAGGAUUUCAACAGAGACUGCUCUGUGCAGGUUGAAAUGGAUGAUUUAGAGAUAAGAGUUUAUCUUUAGGCUUCUUUCAUAACACAAAAAAAUAUUUACUUGAAUAAACUAAUCUCUAAGACGACCAUGUAAACAAUCCUCUUUUGUAUGUUUGAUACAGUAUGUGUGUAGGCACGUGCACAUGUGCACUAGAACUGGGUGAUUAUAUGAUGAUUAAAAUCCACAUGAUAAUAUUAAUAAGUAUAUAAUAAAUAAUAUUUUUUCAUUAUAAAUACAGCUGAGUAUCAAACCUCAGAAUUUUUUUUGGUACCGAGCAAAAUGCGCCUGUAUCACCCAGAUUCUUAAACAUGUUUAUUCUUAGUUUCUUAUUUAGAUGAGAAUCAAAAUUUAUUUUCUUGAAAGAAAAAUAAGAUUUUGUAGAAAAAAGUGCCAAUAUUUGUCAAAGUAAGGUAUUAAAAUAAGUAUUACUUUGUUAUUUCUACCAGAAUUCAUUUAAACAAUCCCCAGAUAUGUACCAUAUCAAUAUACUCUAUUUAAUUAUAUUGCAAAUGUGUUCAAAACACUUAACAAAAUAAUCAAGCCACUGAUGUACAAUGUUCACUGUUAUGAAUUACAUCAUUCUAAACUACAUAUAUUUGUCAAACAGCUACAAUAACUUUUAAAAUUUUAAAUUAUAACUUGCUCUGAAUAAUUUAAUUUGUACAACUGAAGUUUGAUGAACAAUAUAACAUUAUAUGAUAUUCAUGGACAGAUAAACUUGCUAGACCUUCAAGUAUGAUCUGCUUGGUGCCUGUUAACCCUGUUUCUUCUAUUCUCUGUGCAGGGUUGAAUAAUACCCAUCCCAAAAUUUGCUGUGUGGUAAUUUGAAUAAACACUAAUUAGCAUUAUGCAAUAUGUCAGCACAAAACUGAAAUACUGAAAAAUAGGGACUAUCUUUAAGUAACAAUCCUGAAAGGCCCUUUUCCAGCUGAUACUGCCUUUAAUGCUACACAUUUGCAAAGAGAUUUUCAAGUACGUUAGCACAAACAAACAGUAAGCCUGGAGUUCUAGAGCCUGGUCGUCUGCUCUGCUUGGUUGGUAAUCCAGCCUUGCAUUUGGUACAAAAUGGUAUGAUCCUACUUGAUUGAUAUGAUAAACUGUUCAGCAAAUUAUGAAUAUUAAAUCAUCUCCUAGCCCUGGUGUGUAUG